Triticum urartu is the source of this 1723-nucleotide non-coding RNA. The record is from RefSeq and is a predicted model, not a curated record. Lineage: Eukaryota; Viridiplantae; Streptophyta; Magnoliopsida; Poales; Poaceae.
ACUGUUUUCCUCUAGGCAUUUUUAUUUGCCCUAAACGACAGCACCGCACGACCCACUCCUCUCUUCAACCCUCGAUCCUCCUCACGCGCGUAGGGUUCCACGAGAGAUAGGUAGCGCCGUCGCCGUUCGACUCCUCCUCCCACCCUCCCCUACACAACGGAUGCACACCUACCUAUGGCUGCCCCUUCUUCCGCCAUGGCCGGUGAUUCCCACAGAGACGCGUACCAGCUAUGCGGGAGCAGGCAGCGGUGAUUCUUUGUCCCGCGCUCGUGAUGCUCCACAAGUGGAAUCUGCCCGUGAAGGAGACUUGUGGAAUCUACCCGUGAAGGAGAUGGCGCAGGUGCGGGGAGGUGACCAGGUGGCCAUGCUACAUGAGGCGGUCGAGUCAGAGGAUGCGAGUCGAUGCAUCCACGAACGCCGCGAGCUGAUGCUUGAGGCGGUCAAGUCUGAGGUUGUGUUUUGUAAAAUGGCAUAGUCGUCGGUCUCUUUGGCGAGGUCUCUUUCGAUUAACUUCACAGUGGCAGCCGCCGCAGUGCAUGUCCCAAGUCUCAGCCCCCAUCUCUAUGUCGUGUUCUUGCAUAUCAAGAAGCAGGAACGGCUAUACUAAAGGCCAUCAAUUUCCAUGUCUUCCAGACCUUAACCAAGCAUCACUGAUGAGGGAAGAUGCCACUUCCUUGGCUCAAACUGCAGGAUUUAGAUCCACCUCUUGAUGGGGCUAAUUAUGAAAUAAAAUGAAUGAGGAAAUUUCCUUAGUUAUUGAACUGAGUUAACCUACACGUAUGUAUAUGACAGGAGUAAUGACUAAUGAGGUAACCUAUCUCAUGUGACUUUCUUGCCUUUUCAAUUGCUGGUUUCAAUUCCUUGGCUGUAGCUACCUUAAUUUUUCAGAAGACCAUUAGCUAUCUUGGUUUGAAGGUGUAUCAUGUUUAUGUAUUGCUUUAUUAUUUCCACAAGUUAAGUAGCAGUAGGUAGCUUGGUUUUUACUUGAAUUUCCUUGACAUAAUAUUUGGUGCUUCUCCUCAUCAUUUAGACAGCAAGAGAACAAUGACUUGCAUACAUGAAGGCUAUCUCCAACAUUGCUUGAUUUGCAGUUUAUUCCCAGGUGCAAACUUUACCAAAAUGUACCACAAUACAAAUGGUUUAUUGCCUCAUUAUUUUCUUGGAGCGUUGAUUAUUUUCUUGGAGCGUUGUACAUUUACUUUUGCAAUUGGGAAGCGAAAUCUAAAUUUCAGUUUCAGUUUUAUGGUGCAGGCUUGAAACAGUGGCAUAUAGUAUUAUCUUACAGAACAAUAGAUGAUUCCGCUUUCAGAGAGCUGAUCAUACCUAUCUUGCUCGAUUUGAUGUUGUUCCGUGUGUUACUUUGUACCUCUCGACACAAUGAAUAUGAAGGAGAGGCACUCCAAGAGUUCAUGUUUAAUUACAAGAUCUAUAGCUAUUUCGUUUACAUUAGGAGCAGUACCAAUCUGUUUCUAAUUUAGGUUAAACUAGGAACAUCUAUGGAAGGAUAAAUUUUAGUAUUUGAUCCUUCUAUUGACAAGUCGUAUAACUUAUGAUAUUAUAGAGUUUAGAGAUGCUUAUCCUGUUCUAUAUGGCUUAAGUUAUAUCAGUAGUUAUGUACUGUAGUUUUGCCGAGAUAGGAUACAUUAUAUGGAAAUAAGAUGUAUGCAAAAACUUUGCAGGAAGUGCUUGUAUAUUGGAGGAAGCCAAAAUGUUAGAGAACUCA